Molecule: long non-coding RNA, 337 nt
Filed under: Zostera marina
Lineage: Eukaryota; Viridiplantae; Streptophyta; Magnoliopsida; Alismatales; Zosteraceae
Description: long non-coding RNA (ZMAR_LNC001930)
Source: RNAcentral
UUUUGCAAUUUUCCCAAGGCCUAUAAAUAGUGAGGAGGUUUUCCCCAAACCCUCACAACACUUCUUUGCCCUUCUCGAUCGCUCAGACCCCCCGAUCCUUGAAUCGCCGAUUCCUUGAUCUUCAAGCUUUAAUUCAGCGAUUCGCAAGAUGUCUCCCACCGAUUCCCCUUUGAGAGAAUCCGAAACGUCGGCUCUUAUAGCUGACAUGAUGGAAGUUGACAACUUGGAUGUGGUGUUGAACACCAUUGAGUCGCCGAUUCCCUCUCCUGAUAGGGAGGUUGAGUCGGCGACUCUGGUCGUUCCAUCCCAAGAAUUGGUGCUGAGUGCCACCGUGCAC